GCCAGAUCUAGUCCUAACAAUAACUAACUAAACUAUAUAUACACCACCCACAAAACAUUCACAAAUCCUAGUAUAGGUGAUAGAACAGACUUACCCUAGGCACAAUAGAGAAAGUACCGUGAGGGAACGUUGAAAGAUAUUAUCCUACAAGCAACAUAAAGCAAAGAUUGCACCUUGUACCUUUUGCAUAAUGAUUUAGCCAGUCAAAACGGACAAAACGAAUUAAAGCCCGUCCCCCCGAAAUUAAGUGAGCUAUUGUAGAACAGUUACAAGAACGAACUCGUCUGUGUAGCAAAACAGUGAGAUGAUUUUACAAUAGAGGUGAAAAGCCUAUCGAACUUAAUGAUAGCUGGUUGUCCAAAAAACGAAUCUAAGUUCAACUUUAAAUUUAACCCAAGUAUCAAUAAACACAAUUUAAAUUUAAAUGUUAAUCAAAAGAGGGACAACUCCUUUUGAUACGUAGACAAACUUUACUUAGAGGAUAAUGAAAUACACAAAAAACAUUGUAGGCCCAAAAGCAGCCAUCAAUUAAGAAAGCGUUAAAGCUCAAACUUUACCAAUACUUAAUACCCAAUAAUCAAUCAAAAUCCCCUAAACCCAAAUAUUGGACAAUUCCUUUAACUAUUUAAGAAAGAUAUAAUGCUAAUAUGAGUAACCUGAAUAUAUUCUUCCUUGCACAAACAUAAAUACAGAUCGGAACAACCGCUUACACUUAAUCAAACAAAUAAAUAUAAUUACAUACCAGCAACCUACCCAAAAAUAUUGUUAACCCAACCCAGGUGUGCAUAAACAGGAAAGAUUAAAAGGAAUAAAAGGAACUCGGCAAACACGAACCCCGGCUGUUUACCAAAAACAUCACCUCUAGCACUAACCAGUUUUAGAGGCACUGCCUGCCCGGUGAGUUAUGACUUUAACGGCCGCGGUAUCCUGACCGUGCAAAGGUAGCAUAAUCACUUGUCUCUUAAUUGGGGACUAGUAUGAAUGGCAUCACGAGGGCUCAACUGUCUCUUAUUCCCAAUCAGUGAAAUUGACCUUCCCGUGCAGAGGCGGGAAUACUAAUACAAGACGAGAAGACCCUGUGGAGCUUAAGUCAUACAACUCAAAAAAUACUAAUACACACCCAAUGGGUACAAAACGUAUAACUCACUGAGUUAGAGUCUUUGGUUGGGGUGACCUCGGAGCACAAAACAACCUCCGAAUGAAUAUAACCUAGAUUGACCAAUCUAAGUGUAAUACUACCAGUAAUUGACCCAUCUUUUGAUCAACGGAACAAGUUACCCCAGGGAUAACAGCGCAAUCCUAUUUGAGAGCCCAUAUCGAAAAUUAGGGUUUACGACCUCGAUGUUGGAUCAGGACACCCAAAUGGUGCAACCGCUAUUAAAGGUUCGUUUGUUCAACGAUUAAAGUCCUACGUGAUCUGAGUUCAGACCGGAGAAAUCCAGGUCGGUUUCUAUCUGUAAAUUCAUUUCUCCCAGUACGAAAGGACAAGAGAAAUAGGGCCAACGUUCCAAAUAAGCCCUAGAACCAACAUAUGAACCAAUCUUAAUAUAGCAAAAUCAAUUUAUACCUCCCCAAGAAUAGGGUUGUUAAGA
Molecule: ribosomal RNA, 1592 nt
Filed under: Pseudantechinus mimulus (Alexandria false Antechinus)
Lineage: Eukaryota; Metazoa; Chordata; Mammalia; Dasyuromorphia; Dasyuridae
Description: 16S ribosomal RNA
Rfam family: Bacterial large subunit ribosomal RNA (bases 124-1511)
Source: RNAcentral